This 734-nucleotide long non-coding RNA is filed under the name Capra hircus (goat). RNAcentral's name for it is "lncRNA (ENSCHIG00000004074.1)". Lineage: Eukaryota; Metazoa; Chordata; Mammalia; Artiodactyla; Bovidae. The record is from RNAcentral.
GCGGUGGCGCCCGCGUGCCCCACGGUGGCGCCCGCGCACCCCACCGGUGGCGCCCGCGUGCCCCACGGUGGGCGCCCGAGCGCCCCAUGGUGGCAUGGGGACACGCUCACACUACGUGAAUCUCGUGGUCAUGUGACGCUCUAUGUUCGCGCGAGAAUGGGGGCACCGUUUAAACGGUUGGAGAGCCUCCUGAACGGCUCUUGGUAGGUCAGUUUAGUUUUCUGAGAAGUCAGACCACUCCGUGAGGAAAACCUUUAGAAUUAAGCGCUUUAGGAUUUGUUCUACAAAACACUAUGUCUGAGAGACAACCAAAAAAUACUCAUCCAACAAAGAACAAUGGGAUACACAAAAAUGAAGAAUACAGAGGUGAUGAAAGUUCACCUGAAGGAAGAAAUGAAGGUUGGAGUUCUUUCCAAGAUCAUUUUGACAAGAGGAGCCCUCAUUAUGAAGAUGAUGGAUAUGAGACUCAGCCUUCACACCACUGUGAUGAUGAUGGAAGUAUGGUGAUGAGGAAUGUCCAUGAGGGCCCUAAAGAAAGACACUCUCCCUAUUCCUUCCAAAGCAACAGGAGAGUGAGAUGGCACAGAGAAGGCAAUAUCCAUGUUACUGUGUGGGGAAAUGGAAAACCUGUGAUGAGAGAAAUGAGGGAGAACCCACAAGAUGGUGCCCAAGGGAGCUGGUUUAAGGUCACAGUGAGUAUCCUGAAAAAAGUAUGGAAUNNAGAGGAGCCUGGU